RNAcentral lists this ribosomal RNA (433 nucleotides) under uncultured bacterium. RNAcentral describes it as "bacterial SSU rRNA". It matches the Rfam family "Bacterial small subunit ribosomal RNA", at positions 369 to 793 of the family's 1533-position model. The record is from RNAcentral.
CAAUGGGCGCAAGCCUGAUGGAGCAACACCGCGUGAGUGAAGAAGGGUUUCGGCUCGUAAAGCUCUGUUGUUAAAGAAGAACACGUAUGAGAGUAACUGUUCAUACGUUGACGGUAUUUAACCAGAAAGUCACGGCUAACUACGUGCCAGCAGCCGCGGUAAUACGUAGGUGGCAAGCGUUAUCCGGAUUUAUUGGGCGUAAAGAGAGUGCAGGCGGCGUUUCUAAGUCUGAUGUGAAAGCCUUCGGCUUAACCGGAGAAGUGCAUCGGAAACUGGAUAACUUGAGUGCAGAAGAGGGUAGUGGAACUCCAUGUGUAGCGGUGGAAUGCGUAGAUAUAUGGAAGAACACCAGUGGCGAAGGCGGCUACCUGGUCUGCAACUGACGCUGAGACUCGAAAGCAUGGGUAGCGAACAGGAUUAGAUACCCUGGUAG